UACGUAGGGUGCGAGCGUUAAUCGGAAUUACUGGGCGUAAAGGGCUCGUAGGCGGCCAACUAAGUCAGACGUGAAAUCCCUCGGCUUAACCGGGGAACUGCGUCUGAUACUGGAUGGCUUGAGAUUGGGAGAGGGAUGCGGAAUUCCAGGUGUAGCGGUGAAAUGCGUAGAUAUCUGGAGGAACACCGGUGGCGAAGGCGGCAUCCUGGACCAACACUGACACUGAGGAGCGAAAGCCAGGGGAGCAAACGGG
This 253-nucleotide ribosomal RNA is filed under the name uncultured bacterium. RNAcentral describes it as "partial 16S ribosomal RNA". It matches the Rfam family "Bacterial small subunit ribosomal RNA", at positions 524 to 776 of the family's 1533-position model. The record is from RNAcentral.